Tetranychus urticae (two-spotted spider mite) is the source of this 1123-nucleotide long non-coding RNA. RefSeq lists it as uncharacterized. The record is from RefSeq and is a predicted model, not a curated record. Lineage: Eukaryota; Metazoa; Arthropoda; Arachnida; Trombidiformes; Tetranychidae.
GUUGGGCUGUAAAAUAAUGGCCAAUCGAGACUCACCAUUAAACCAGUUGUUACAGCAAUUCCUCUACCACAAUAUGUAUUAGGAACGAUAUCACCAUAACCAACAGAUAAAAAUGUAAUAGCUGUUAACCACAUGGUAUUCAAUAGAUUGGCAUGUUCUUUAUCAUGGUUCCUGAAAAAAAACAGAACAUUAUUUUAAUGGCUCGAGGCUUCAACUACUCACAAAACCUGUGUUCAUGCAUAAUCUCCAAUCUCAUAAAUCUGCAAUGUUUCAUUUCUGGUUUUAUUAACAAGUUAUGCCGAUGGUAAUACUCUGAUCUUUUGAGAUAUGAUUGAAACAAUCAAUAUUAUCAACAAUGGAUGAAAGACGGAACACAAAAGUCAAAUAAUGACAGGAAAAGAUAGGCAAAAUCAACAAAGAAUACAUUUGUAUAUAUUCUCAGAUUAUAAAGGAGACGAUAAAGCAAUUGUAAGGAACAAGCGAGUCGAGUCAAAAACAGAAGUCUAUUCAUUCCAGACUAGAGCUGAUAAUAUCAAACUGGUAGCAAAUAUUUCCAAACCUAUCACUUAUCAAAACUAAUAACUUUUCAAAGACAAGUGAUAUUUUAAUUCCAAUCAAACGGAAAAUUUAAUGUUCAUCAAAAUUUUGAUAAACUUGAAAAAGACAGUUUCUUCAAUCAUCAUCAUUGGCACUUCAAGAAAAUUGAAGACAAUUGAUAACCCAGUUCAUCCAUCGCUACAUAAUUCCAAAGUGUUAAAAUUCCAACUGAAUUAACCCAAGUUUCGUAAAAGGUUCUGGAUCAAUAUGAAUCUCUCAAUUAUAUGGAUUUUCUGGUUUCGAGAACCAGAAAUUUGAUCUUUCAAUAUUUACAUUUUGACUGAUCUGUUUAAAUGCUUUAUCGCACAACCAAUUUGUGCAACAUUUAAAAUGAACGCAUUUUGAUCCUUCCUCAAUGGUUAUCUAAUGAUGAACCAAAAAUUGUCUGAGCUUCCAUGUAAUGACUCUCAGACCAUUUGCCUUUCCUGAGUUUUCUUGUUUUUCCGCGAAUCUGUUGAUAAUUGAUAGACUUGAUUAAUUUGAAUGUUGGAAACCUGAGAAGUAAAGCAUUUUGUUUAUUCUUGUA